GACGAACGCUGGCGGCGUGCUUAACACAUGCCAGUCGAACGAAGAGCGAUGGAAGCUUGCUUCUAUCAAUCUUAGUGGCGAACGGGUGAGUAACGCGUAAUCAACCUGCCCUUCAGAGGGGGACAACAGUUGGAAACGACUGCUAAUACCGCAUACGAUCUAAUCUCGGCAUCGAGGAUAGAUGAAAGGUGGCCUCUACAUGUAAGCUCUCACUGAAGGAGGGGAUUGCGUCUGAUUAGCUAGUUGGAGGGGUAACGGCCCACCAAGGCGAUGAUCAGUAGCCGGUCUGAGAGGAUGAACGGCCACAUUGGGACUGAGACACGGCCCAGACUCCUACGGGAGGCAGCAGUGGGGAAUCUUCCGCAAUGGACGAAAGUCUGACGGAGCAACGCCGCGUGAGUGAUGACGGCCUUCGGGUUGUAAAGCUCUGUUAAUCGGGACGAAAGGCCUUCUUGCGAAUAGUGAGAAGGAUUGACGGUACCGGAAUAGAAAGCCACGGCUAACUACGU
RNAcentral lists this ribosomal RNA (509 nucleotides) under uncultured bacterium. RNAcentral describes it as "partial 16S ribosomal RNA". It matches the Rfam family "Bacterial small subunit ribosomal RNA", at positions 28 to 506 of the family's 1533-position model. The record is from RNAcentral.